UGAGUCGGCCAGGCGGCCGCGUGGGUCGGCUUCGGCCGCGUCCACGAGGAACGUCCGGGCUCCACAGGGAACGGCGGUGGGUAACACCCACCCGGGGCGACCCGCGGGAAAGCGCCACAGAAAACAAACCGCCGCGCAAGCGGCAAGGGUGAAACGGCGGUGUAAGAGACCACCGCGCUUCGGGCGACCGAAGCGGCAGGGCAAGCCCCGCCGGGAGCAAGGCCAGACAGCGCGCGAUGAGGCUUCCCGUCUAGCGCGCGGGUGGGCCGCUUGAGCCGCGCGGCGACGCGCGGCCUAGAGGGAUGGCCGCCGCCGGAUCCGCAGCGGAUCCGGAACAGAACCCGGCGUAUCGGCUGACUCAUUCG
Molecule: non-coding RNA, 365 nt
Organism: Actinomyces sp. oral taxon 848
Lineage: Bacteria; Bacillati; Actinomycetota; Actinomycetes; Actinomycetales; Actinomycetaceae
Source: Rfam